Molecule: ribosomal RNA, 465 nt
Filed under: uncultured bacterium
Lineage: Bacteria
Description: partial 16S ribosomal RNA
Rfam family: Bacterial small subunit ribosomal RNA
Source: RNAcentral
GACGAACGCUGGCGGCGUGCUUAACACAUGCAAGUCGAACGGAAAGGCCCUGCUUGCAGGGUACUCGAGUGGCGAACGGGUGAGUAACACGUGGGUGAUCUGCCCUGCACUUCGGGAUAAGCCUGGGAAACUGGGUCUAAUACCGGAUAGGAGCCAUUUUUAGUGUGAUGGUUGGAAAGUUUUUUCGGUGUAGGAUGAGCUCGCGGCCUAUCAGCUUGUUGGUGGGGUAAUGGCCUACCAAGGCGGCGACGGGUAGCCGGCCUGAGAGGGUGGACGGCCACAUUGGGACUGAGAUACGGCCCAGACUCCUACGGGAGGCAGCAGUGGGGAAUAUUGCACAAUGGGCGCAAGCCUGAUGCAGCGACGCUGCGUGGGGGAUGACGGCCUUCGGGUUGUAAACUCCUUUCGCUAGGGACGAAGCUUUUUGUGACGGUACCUAGAGAAGAAGCACCGGCUAACUACGUG